CGGCCGCGUCGACAGGAAUUGACGGGACCGCACAAGCGGUGGAGCAUGUGGUUUAAUUCGAAGCAACGCGAAGAACCUUACCAAAUCUUGACAUCGGAGUGACCGCUCUUUAAUCGGAGCUUUCCUUCGGGACACUCCAGACAGGUGGUGCAUGGUUGUCGUCAGCUCGUGUCGUGAGAUGUUGGGUUAACGUCCCGCAACGAGCGCAACCCUUAUCCUUAGUAGCCAGCGGUUCGGCCGGGCACUCUAGGGAGACUGCCAGGGAUAACCUGGAGGAAGGUGGGAUGACGUCAAAUCAUCAUCGCCCCUUAUGAGUUUGGGCUACACACGUGCUAACAAUGGACGUAAACAAAGGGAAGCGAACCCGUGGAGGGGAAGACAAAUCUACAAAAAUAACGUCUCAGUUCGGAUUGUAGUCUGACAACUCGACUACAUGAAGCUGGAAUCGCUAAGUAAUCGCGAAUCAGCAUGUCGCGGUGAAUACGUUCCGGGUCUUGGUCGACGCGGCC
This 509-nucleotide ribosomal RNA is filed under the name uncultured bacterium. RNAcentral's name for it is "bacterial SSU rRNA". It matches the Rfam family "Bacterial small subunit ribosomal RNA", at positions 905 to 1387 of the family's 1533-position model. The record is from RNAcentral.